This 556-nucleotide ribosomal RNA is filed under the name uncultured bacterium. Its description in RNAcentral is "partial 16S ribosomal RNA". It matches the Rfam family "Bacterial small subunit ribosomal RNA", at positions 355 to 902 of the family's 1533-position model. The record is from RNAcentral.
UGGGGAAUUUUGGACAAUGGGCGAAAGCCUGAUCCAGCAAUGCCGCGUGUGUGAAGAAGGCCUUCGGGUUGUAAAGCACUUUUGUCCGGAAAGAAAUCCUUGGCUCUAAUACAGUCGGGGGAUGACGGUACCGGAAGAAUAAGCACCGGCUAACUACGUGCCAGCAGCCGCGGUAAUACGUAGGGUGCAAGCGUUAAUCGGAAUUACUGGGCGUAAAGCGUGCGCAGGCGGUUUGCUAAGACCGAUGUGAAAUCCCCGGGCUCAACCUGGGAACUGCAUUGGUGACUGGCAGGCUAGAGUAUGGCAGAGGGGGGUAGGAAUUCCACGUNUAGCAGUGAAAUGCGUAGAGAUGUGGAGGAAUACCGAUGGCGAAGGCCAGCCCCCUGGGCAAUACUGACGCUCAUGCACGAAAGCGUGGGGAGCAAACAGGAUUAGAUACCCCUGGUAGUCCGCGCCCUAAACGAUGUCAACUAGUUGUUGGGGAUUCAUUUCCUUAGUAACGUAGCUAACGCGUGAAGUUGACCGCCUGGGGAGUACGGUCGCAAGAUUAAAACUU